CAUGGGUUUUCGGUGGUAUUGAGCGUGGCUCUGGGCGUUGCUUCUUGGUGGAAGUUCCUGACAGAACUGCAGAAACCUUAUCUGCUAUAAUUCAAAGGUUGGUUGGAGAGGCGUAUUUAGGAAAGUAGAAGCAUGUAUUUGAUGGAUGCUAGAAUUUCGAAUUGAGUUAUUUUUUUUUGUUUAUAAGUAUAAAAAUAUAACUUUAUUUAAUGGAAUAGGUACAUCUUACCAGGAACAAUAAUUAUGUCCGAUGGGUGGAGGGCAUAUGAAAAUAUCAAUCAAAUUGGCGGAGGAAUAUAUCACCAUGAAGUGAUUAUUCACGAACAUAAUUUUGUGAACCCUGAAAAUCGUGUAAUUCACACGCAGAACGUGGAAAAUAUGUGGAUGAGGGCGAAAAGGAAACUCCGUCGCCAAUUUGGUACCUCACAAACCUUAUUUCCAUCGUACCUCCACGAGUUUAUUUGGAGGAACAAAUUUAAAAAUUAUAACUUGUUUAUGAGUACAAUAAUGUGUAUUAGGGAGCAAUAUCCUUUAGAAUAAUUUUAUUUUUAUUUUAAUUGAUUUUGUUUUUUUAUUAUAAAGUAUAUAAAUAUAUUUUUUUGUUAUA
Molecule: long non-coding RNA, 607 nt
Organism: Aethina tumida (small hive beetle)
Lineage: Eukaryota; Metazoa; Arthropoda; Insecta; Coleoptera; Nitidulidae
Exons: 2
Source: RefSeq, a predicted model, not a curated record